RNAcentral lists this ribosomal RNA (891 nucleotides) under Agaricus sp. Its description in RNAcentral is "eukaryotic LSU rRNA". It matches the Rfam family "Eukaryotic large subunit ribosomal RNA", at positions 72 to 950 of the family's 3401-position model. The record is from RNAcentral. Lineage: Eukaryota; Fungi; Basidiomycota; Agaricomycetes; Agaricales; Agaricaceae.
GGAUUCCCCUAGUAACUGCGAGUGAAGCGGGAAAAGCUCAAAUUUAAAAUCUGGCAGUCUCUGGCUGUCCGAGUUGUAAUCUAGAGAAGUAAUGCCCGUGCUGGACCGUGUAUAAGUCUCCUGGGAUGGGGCGUCAUAGAGGGUGAGAAUCCCGUCUUUGACACGGACUACCAGUGCAUUGUGGUAUGCUCUCAAAGAGUCGAGUUGUUUGGGAAUGCAGCUCAAAAUGGGUGGUAAAUUCCAUCUAAAGCUAAAUAUUGGCGAGAGACCGAUAGCGAACAAGUACCGUGAGGGAAAGAUGAAAAGAACUUUGGAAAGAGAGUUAAACAGUACGUGAAAUUGCUGAAAGGGAAACGCUUGAAGUCAGUCRCGUUGGCCGGGAAUCAGCCUUGCUUUUGCAUGGUGUACUUUCUGGUUGAUGGGUCAGCAUCAAUUUUGACCGCUGGAAAAAGGCCUGGGGAAUGUGGCAGCUUCGGCUGUGUUAUAGCCCCUAGUCACAUACAGUGGUUGGGAUUGAGGAACUCAGCACGCCGCAAGGCCGGGUUUCGACCACGUUCGUGCUUAGGAUGCUGGCAUAAUGGCUUUAAGCGACCCGUCUUGAAACACGGACCAAGGAGUCUAACAUGCCUGCGAGUAUUUGGGUGGAAAACCCAAGUGCGUAAUGAAAGUGAAAGUUGAGAUCCCUGUCGUGGGGAGCAUCGACGCCCGGACCAGAACUUUUGGGACGGAUCCGCGGUGGAGCAUGUAUGUUGGGACCCGAAAGAUGGUGAACUAUGCCUGAAUAGGGUGAAGCCAGAGGAAACUCUGGUGGAGGCUCGUAGCGAUUCUGACGUGCAAAUCGAUCGUCAAAUUUGGGUAUAGGGGCGAAAGACUAAUCGAACCAUCAAUGCA